GCACUUCUGAAGAGUCCCAAACUAGGACGAAACAGCUGUCCAGUAC
Molecule: non-coding RNA, 46 nt
Filed under: Trichobilharzia regenti
Lineage: Eukaryota; Metazoa; Platyhelminthes; Trematoda; Strigeidida; Schistosomatidae
Source: RNAcentral